CUUGGUUGAGCUUGAAUUUCCUGAUUCUCUCCUCUUUUAUUUCCUGGCAGGCUCUGUUGCAGGAGCACAGCUUCGUGACAGGAUUAGCUGCCUUGUUAGAAACAUACGAUCUCAGCAAGAUCACACCAGAAAUGGACGAACCGAUAGAAUCCAUGCUGAUGGACCUUUCCAUUUUUUAUUGGACGGCUAUCCUAAAGACAGAGGACAAUGUUUUUGAGGAAAGAAGUUGUUGGAGAAGAAGUUGUUGGAGGAAGCCUUUGGCCUGACACUGAGGAGCCUUCUCCGGCAGUCUCCCACCACACAGCGGUUCGUUUUCAUUCUGAAGCAUUUGGACCCAGAUGGGAGACUCUUCUUGCCAGUGCUCAACCAGCUCCUCUAUUGUGGGAACCAUCAUCCCAGGAUCGAUCUUGAUGAAGUCCAGCAAGCUUUCCCUGAUGUUCCCAGAGAAAUCUGGCAGGCUGGAAUGACCUAUGAAAACAUCAAUGAAGGUAACCUAGAAGUAGAGGAGUUGUGACCUCCACCCUCCACCAUUGAUCCACCUAUAUUCAAGGAUGGAUGAAGUUCUACUCCAUCGCAGGAAAUGGCCCUUUGUUUCUUCCUUCUAUAAAUUAUCACUGGAAGGGCAGAACUCCCUACUGCUGAAGUUCCCCUUGGAGUUUGGAAGAUGGCACUGGGGCUGAAUAUGUUGUGGAGCAGACGCCAACCAUAAUCGUUUUUAAUAUGCUUCAGCAGGUUGGUAGUGUGGAAGGUUGGACUAAGAGAUGGUUCAGUUUCUGCAAAUGUAGUCUUUCUUCUAUCAAGCAUAUGCUUGAUUCUGCUUUCUGCCCUGUGAUUUGGCUCUUCUUAGGCUGUGUAGAAGCUUGGACUGAAUUCCAUGCCAUGCCUGUAACUGACCUCUUUGCUUGGACCAUCAUCCAUCUGGAUCAACAUCUUCUCAGGAUAGUUUCCUUAAAUGGGUGGCAUAUAAAUGUCUCAUAGACAGAAUGUUUAUGUUUAUGUUUAUGUAUCUAUAUGUAUAUGUUUAUGUAUUUAUUUUGUUUGUCAUAUUCUGUUUUUAAUUGUAUAAUUGAUUUUAUGGUUGCUUGCCACCCAUUGUCACUUGUUUGACAUGGGCCCCUGUACAUAUUGGAUAAAUAAAUAAGUAUACUUUGAAUAUUUUUCCUUCACUGGUUUUCCUAACG
Ahaetulla prasina is the source of this 1181-nucleotide long non-coding RNA. RefSeq lists it as uncharacterized. The transcript is spliced from 7 exons. The record is from RefSeq and is a predicted model, not a curated record. NCBI's taxonomy places the organism in Eukaryota, Metazoa, Chordata, Lepidosauria, Squamata, Colubridae.